UACGUAGGGUGCGAGCGUUGCCCGGAUUUAUUGGGCGUAAAGGGCGCGCAGGCGGCCACGCACGUCCGUUGUGAAAUCGCUCGGCUCAACUGGGCGGGGUCAGCGGAUACGGCGUGGCUGGAGCAAGCUAGGGGGCAAUGGAAUUCCCGGUGUAGUGGUGGAAUGCGUAGAUAUCGGGAGGAACACCAGUGGCGAAGGCGGUUGCCUGGAGCUUUGCUGACGCUGAGGCGCGAAAGCGUGGGGAGCGAGCCGG
RNAcentral lists this ribosomal RNA (253 nucleotides) under uncultured bacterium. Its description in RNAcentral is "partial 16S ribosomal RNA". It matches the Rfam family "Bacterial small subunit ribosomal RNA", at positions 524 to 776 of the family's 1533-position model. The record is from RNAcentral.